Megalopta genalis is the source of this 461-nucleotide long non-coding RNA. RefSeq lists it as uncharacterized. The record is from RefSeq and is a predicted model, not a curated record. Lineage: Eukaryota; Metazoa; Arthropoda; Insecta; Hymenoptera; Halictidae.
GCGUCGCCUGUAUCUUAUGUAUACAUACAUAUACACGACAGAGAUGAAAGAAACUCAGCCGACUAAAAUUAUUAAGUCUUUAAAUCAUAGAUAUUAAAUUUCAUCUAAAUUUUAAUGAGUUCUUACAUGUUUUAAAAAGGCAGUUUUAAUUUAAAAAAAGGAAGGUUUUUACCUAAAAAUGUGAACAGUGUAUUGUUUCAAAACCAACUUCAACCAUAAUAAGGACAAUAAUCAUCCAUUCUAAACGGAUAUGAUGACGGUCGCUUAAAUGCGAAGAUAAAAUUCCAACAAGCUCCACACAAUGACUUAUUUUCUCAUUAAUAACCUGUAGUGUAAAAUUAGAUUAAAUACAUCUUCGAUAACAAUUAAAAAACUAGAAAUAUUCUUUAUCAACACCUAUUAACAACUUACUCUUGUACGUUUUGUAAUAUUGAAAUAUGAACAUGUGUGUUGAUACAAAA